UUACUCCCUGUCUCGGGCGCAUUGUCCCUGUGUAUUUACUCCCUGUCUCGGGCGCAUUGUCCCUGUGUAUUUACUCCCUGUCUCGGGCGCCUUGUCCCUGUGUAUUUACUCCCUGUCUCGGGCGCAUUGUCCCUGUGUAGUGUCUCCCUGUCCCGGUCGCAUUGUCUCUGUGUAGUGUCUCUCUGUCCCGGAAAUAUUGUCCACACAGGGCACAUUGUCCCUGUGUAUUUACUCCCUGUCUCGGGCGCAUUGUCCCUGUGUAUUUACUCCGUGUCUCGGGCGCAUUGUCCCUGUGUAUUUACUCCCUGUCUCGGGCGCAUUGUCCCUGUGUAUUUACUCCCUGUCUCGGGCGCAUUGUCCCUGUGUAGUGUCUCCCUGUCUCGGGCGCAUUGUCCCUGUGUAGUGUCUCCCUGUCCCGGUCGCAUUGUCCCUGUGUAGUGUCUCCCUGUCCCGGUCGCAUUGUCCCUGUGUAGUGUCUCCCUGUCCCGGUCGCAUUGUCCCUGUGUAGUGUCUCUCUGUCCCGGUCGCAUUGUCCCUGUGUAGUGUCUCUCUGUCCCGGUCGCAUUGUCCCUGUGUAGUGUCUCUCUGUCCCGGGCGCAUUGUCUCUGUGUAGUGUCUCUCUGUCCCGGAAAUAUUGUCCACACAGGGCACAUUGUCCCCGUGUAGUGUCUCUCUGUCACGGGCGCAUUGUCCC
This is a non-coding RNA of Pelobates cultripes (western spadefoot toad), 694 nucleotides long. Lineage: Eukaryota; Metazoa; Chordata; Amphibia; Anura; Pelobatidae. The record is from the annotation of a GenBank genome assembly.